GUGCUCGCUUCGGCAGCACAUAUACUAAAAGAAAAUUGGAACGAUACAGAGAUUAGCAUGGACCCUGCACAAGGAUGACACGCAAAUUCUUGAAGUGUACCAUUUAAAA
Small nuclear RNA from Suncus etruscus (white-toothed pygmy shrew), 109 nucleotides. The record is from RefSeq and is a predicted model, not a curated record. Lineage: Eukaryota; Metazoa; Chordata; Mammalia; Eulipotyphla; Soricidae.